CCUACGGGAGGCAGCAGUGGGGAAUAUUGGACAAUGGGCGAAAGCCUGAUCCAGCAAUGCCGCGUGAGUGAUGAAGGCCUUAGGGUUGUAAAGCUCUUUUACCCGGGAUGAUAAUGACAGUACCGGGAGAAUAAGCCCCGGCUAACUCCGUGCCAGCAGCCGCGGUAAUACGGAGGGGGCUAGCGUUGUUCGGAAUUACUGGGCGUAAAGCGCACGUAGGCGGUUAUUCAAGUCAGAGGUGAAAGCCUGGAGCUCAACUCCAGAACUGCCUUUGAAACUAGAUAACUAGAAUCAUGGAGAGGUGAGUGGAAUUCCGAGUGUAGAGGUGAAAUUCGUAGAUAUUCGGAAGAACACCAGUGGCGAAGGCGGCUCACUGGACAUGUAUUGACGCUGAGGUGCGAAAGCGUGGGGAGCAAACAGGAUUAGAUACCCGUGGUAGUCCACGCCGUAAACGAUGAUAACUAGUUGUCGGGGCUCUUAGAGCUUCGGUGACGCAGCUAACGCAUUAAGUUAUCCGCCUGGGGAGUACGGUCGCAAGAUUAAAACUCAAAGNGAAUGACGNGUAGAGAGNGACGAGACGACGAGAGGAG
This 590-nucleotide ribosomal RNA is filed under the name uncultured bacterium. Its description in RNAcentral is "bacterial SSU rRNA". It matches the Rfam family "Bacterial small subunit ribosomal RNA", at positions 338 to 944 of the family's 1533-position model. The record is from RNAcentral.